Molecule: transfer RNA, 76 nt
Filed under: Alphaproteobacteria bacterium
Lineage: Bacteria; Pseudomonadati; Pseudomonadota; Alphaproteobacteria
Description: tRNA-Thr
Rfam family: tRNA
About the family: Transfer RNA (tRNA) molecules are approximately 80 nucleotides in length.
Source: RNAcentral
GCCCUUUUAGCUCAAUUGGUAGAGCAACUGAUUUGUAAUCAGUAGGUUAUUGGUUCAAGUCCAGUAAAGGGCACCA